CGCGGGGUGGAGCAGUUCGGUAGCUCGUCGGGCUCAUAACCCGAAGGUCGCAGGUUCAAAUCCUGCCCCCGCAACCA
Molecule: transfer RNA, 77 nt
Filed under: Acinetobacter baumannii
Lineage: Bacteria; Pseudomonadati; Pseudomonadota; Gammaproteobacteria; Moraxellales; Moraxellaceae
Also listed under: 869 other names
Description: tRNA-Met
Rfam family: tRNA
About the family: Transfer RNA (tRNA) molecules are approximately 80 nucleotides in length. Their secondary structure includes four short double-helical elements and three loops (D, anti-codon, and T loops).
Source: RNAcentral